This is a long non-coding RNA of Capsicum annuum, 1077 nucleotides long. RefSeq lists it as uncharacterized. The record is from RefSeq and is a predicted model, not a curated record. The transcript is spliced from 2 exons. NCBI's taxonomy places the organism in Eukaryota, Viridiplantae, Streptophyta, Magnoliopsida, Solanales, Solanaceae.
UCAACAAUUUCAGCCACUAGCCCACUCCAUUUCUGCCCAGACCACCCAGCCCAACAGAAAUCCCAAUUCUCACCGCCCCAGCCCACUGCCUGAACGACCCGGCCCAAAUCCGUUCACCUGUAUUAUUUUCUCAUUCACCCGCAACCUGAAACAAACACCAACAACAACGUUAUCAUUAAAAAAAAGACGCGUACAAUAGCAAAAAUACGUGUAUAAUAGCUCAAACAAACAUUAACCACCGACAACAACUUCAGCAAACACAAGCAAUUUCAACGCAGUAACAGAACAACGGCUAAAACAGCUCAGCAAACGAGGUUCCAAUUCCACGUCAAACCGAUCUCAAAUUUUGAAAUUCAAAUCUCAAUUCACUUUUUCUUUUUACCCCUUCGUUUCCCGCAAAAUCAGUGGCAAAUUCCCUAUAAAUACCCAUGUCCGUAGAGUGAAGGAGCACUUCUCUCACGGAACUAAGAAGUUCUCGGUGAAAUUCAUCUAAAUGUAUGGAAAUCGUCUGAAUUCCCACGAUAACGAUUCAACGCCGGUAAGUUCAGGUCAAGUUUUGGUGGUGGGAAUCCGUCGUGAUAGACUCGUAAUCCCGGUUCCUGCUCCGAAAAAGCUCAUCUUGAACGAGUCCGAUCGAACUCCUCUUAUCCUUGCAUUCGAACACCGUCGAGUCGAGCCUCAUUAAAGCCAAAAAUUGGACUGAUAUACACAUGAUAGCACGUAUACAUGCUGGUAUAUGCUGAUAUACAGCGUUUAUACACUGAAAGUCGUAGCUGCAUACCACCAUACAAUGUACAAUGAAAUAUGGGGAGGGAAUAUGCUAAUUUCUAUGUUGAUAUACAAUAUGUGGAGAUAUACAGAAAAACGCUAGGGUGAAGGGCUGGGAUAUACAGUCAGUAUACAGCUCAGUAUACACUGCAGAAAUGGUCCAAAAGUCCCCAAUUCAAAGCCCAAAGCUGGGCAGCUGGGCCAAUUAAGGGCCCAAUUCUAUUCUUGUAUAAUUUUUGUAGCUUAUAAUUCAUCUUUGUUUAUGUGUACUGACUUUUUAAUCAAUUAAUCUAGGUAAAUUUCCUAAGA